RNAcentral lists this ribosomal RNA (845 nucleotides) under uncultured archaeon. RNAcentral describes it as "bacterial SSU rRNA". It matches the Rfam family "Archaeal small subunit ribosomal RNA", at positions 23 to 873 of the family's 1478-position model. The record is from RNAcentral.
GCUACCGCUAUUGGAAUGUGAUUAAGCCAUGCGAGUUGAAAGGGUUUAGACCCUUAGCGGACGGCUCAGUAACACGUGGAGAACCUACCCUCAGAUGGGGGAUAAUCCCGGGAAACUGGGAAUAAUACCCCAUAGGUCUCGAAUGCUGGAAUGCUUUGAGGCUGAAAGUUCCGACGUCUGAGGAUGGCUCUGCGGCCUAUCAGGUAGUAGUGAGGGUAACGUCCUCACUAGCCGAUGACGGGUACGGGCGUUGUGAGACGGAGCCCGGAGAUGGACUCUGAGACACGAGUCCAGGCCCUACGGGGCGCAGCAGGCGCGAAACCUCCGCAAUGCUCGAAAGAGUGACGGGGAGAUUCCAAGUGCCUACGCUUCGCGUAGGCUGUUCAGAUGCCUAAAAAGCAUUUGGAGGAAGGACUGGGUAAGACGGGUGCCAGCCGCCGCGGUAAUACCCGCGGUCCGAGUGGUGGUCGAUUUUAUUGGGCCUAAAGCGUCCGUAGCCUGUGUGGUAAAUGCCUGGGUAAAUCGUCUGGCUCAACCAAACGAAUUCCGGGUAGACUACUAGACUUGGGACCGGUUGAGGGAGAGGGUACUUCAGGGGUAGGAGUGAAAUCUUGUAAUCCCUGAAGGACCACCAGUGGCGAAGGCGCUCUCCUAGAACGGGUCCGACGGUGAGGGACGAAAGCCAGGGGAGCAAACCGGAUUAGAUACCCGGGUAGUCCUGGCCGUAAACGAUGCGGGCUUUGCAUUGGGGAUCCUACGAGGGUGCCAAGUGCCGAAGCGAAGGCGUUAAGCCCGCCGCCUGGGAAGUAUGGUCGCAAGGCUGAAACUUAAAGGAAUUGGCGGGG